UAAGUUAAUAAGGGCGCACGGUGGAUGCCUUGGCACUAGGAGCCGACGAAGGACGUGACAAACGAAGAUAUGCCUUGGGUAGCUGUAAGUAAGCGAUGAUCCAGGGAUUUCCGAAUGGGGGAACCCAACAGGUAAUACCUGUUACCUACAUCUGUUAAGGAUGUGAGGAGGAAGACGCAGUGAACUGAAACAUCUAAGUAGCUGCAGGAAGAGAAAGCAAAAGCGAUUGCCUUAGUAGCGGCGAGCGAAACGGCAGAAGGGCAAACCGAAGAGUUUACUCUUCGGGGUUGUAGGACUGCAAUGUGGACUCAAAGAUUAUAGAAGAAUGAUUUGGGAAGAUCAGCCAAAGAGAGUAAUAGCCUCGUAUUUAAAAUAGUCUUUGUACUUAGCAGUAUCCUGAGUACGGCGGGACACGUGAAACUCCCGUCGGAAUCUGGGAGGACCAUCUCCCAACCCUAAAUACUCCCUAGUGACCGAUAGUGAACCAGUACCGUGAGGGAAAGGUGAAAAGCACCCCGGGAAGGGGAGUGAAAUAGAACCCUGAAACCGUGUGCCUACAACAAGUUCGAGCCCGUUAAUGGGUGAGAGCGUGCCUUUUGUAGAAUGAACGGCGAGUUACGUUAUGAUGCGAGGUUAAGUUGAAGAGACGGAGCCGUAGGGAAACCGAGUCUGAAUAGGCGCCUUAGUAUCAUGACGUAGACCCGAAACCAUGUGACUACCCAUGAGCAGGUUGAAGGUGCGGUAAGACGCACUGGAGGACCGAACCAGGGCACGUUGAAAAGUGCUUGGAUGACUUGUGGGUAGCGGAGAAAUUCCAAACGAACUUGGAGAUAGCUGGUUCUCUCCGAAAUAGCUUUAGGGCUAGCGUCGACAUUAGAGAUUCUUGGAGGUAGAGCACUGUUUGGGUGAGGGGUCCAUCCCGGAUUACCAAUCUCAGAUAAACUCCGAAUGCCAAUGAAUUAUGGUCGGCAGUCAGACUGCGAGUGCUAAGAUCCGUAGUCAAGGGAAACAGCCCAGACCACCAGCUAAGGUCCCAAAAUAAUUGUUAAGUGGAAAAGGAUGUGGGGUUGCACAGACAACUAGGAUGUUAGCUUAGAAGCAGCUAUUCAUUCAAAGAGUGCGUAAUAGCUCACUAGUCGAGUGACCCUGCGCCGAAAAUGUACCGGGGCUAAAACAAUUUACCGAAGCUGUGGAUACCUUUAUAGGUAUGGUAGGAGAGCGUUCUAUGUGUGAUGAAGGUAUACCGUGAGGAGUGCUGGAACGCAUAGAAGUGAGAAUGCCGGUAUGAGUAGCGAAAGACAGGUGAGAAUCCUGUCCACCGUAAGACUAAGGUUUCCAGGGGAAGGCUCGUCCGCCCUGGGUUAGUCGGGACCUAAGGAGAGACCGAAAGGUGUAUCCGAUGGACAACAGGUUGAUAUUCCUGUACUAGAGUAUGUAGUGAUGGAGGGACGCAGUAGGCUAACUAAAGCAGACGAUUGGAAGAGUCUGUCUAAGCAGUGAGGUGUGAAUUGAGUCAAAUGCUUAAUUCUAUAACAUUGAGCUGUGAUGGGGAGCGAAGUUUAGUAGCGAAGUUAGUGACGUCACACUGCCAAGAAAAGCUUCUAGCGUUUAAACAUACUCUACCCGUACCGCAAACCGACUACAGGUAGUCGAGGCGAGUAGCCUCAGGUGAGCGAGAGAACUCUCGUUAAGGAACUCGGCAAAAUGACCCCGUAACUUCGGGAGAAGGGGUGCUGACUUUAAGUCAGCCGCAGUGAAUAGGCCCAAGCAACUGUUUAUCAAAAACACAGCUCUCUGCUAAAUCGUAAGAUGAUGUAUAGGGGGUGACGCCUGCCCGGUGCUGGAAGGUUAAGAGGAGUGCUUAGCGUAAGCGAAGGUAUGAAUUGAAGCCCCAGUAAACGGCGGCCGUAACUAUAACGGUCCUAAGGUAGCGAAAUUCCUUGUCGGGUAAGUUCCGACCCGCACGAAAGGCGUAAUGAUUUGGGCACUGUCUCAACGAGAGACUCGGUGAAAUUUUAGUACCUGUGAAGAUGCAGGUUACCCGCGACAGGACGGAAAGACCCCAUGGAGCUUUACUGCAGUUUGAUAUUGAGUGUCUGUACCACAUGUACAGGAUAGGUAGGAGUCUAAGAGAUCGGGACGCCAGUUUCGAAGGAGACGCUGUUGGGAUACUACCCUUGUGUUAUGGCCACUCUAACCCAGAUAGGUGAUCCCUAUCGGAGACAGUGUCUGACGGGCAGUUUGACUGGGGCGGUCGCCUCCUAAAAGGUAACGGAGGCGCCCAAAGGUUCCCUCAGAAUGGUUGGAAAUCAUUCGCAGAGUGUAAAGGUAUAAGGGAGCUUGACUGCGAGAGCUACAACUCGAGCAGGGACGAAAGUCGGGCUUAGUGAUCCGGUGGUUCCGUAUGGAAGGGCCAUCGCUCAACGGAUAAAAGCUACCCUGGGGAUAACAGGCUUAUCUCCCCCAAGAGUUCACAUCGACGGGGAGGUUUGGCACCUCGAUGUCGGCUCGUCGCAUCCUGGGGCUGUAGUCGGUCCCAAGGGUUGGGCUGUUCGCCCAUUAAAGCGGCACGCGAGCUGGGUUCAGAACGUCGUGAGACAGUUCGGUCCCUAUCCGUCGCGGGCGUAGGAAAUUUGAGAGGAUCUGCUCCUAGUACGAGAGGACCAGAGUGGACUUACCGCUGGUGUACCAGUUGUCUUGCCAAAGGCAUCGCUGGGUAGCUAUGUAGGGAAGGGAUAAACGCUGAAAGCAUCUAAGUGUGAAACCCACCUCAAGAUGAGAUUUCCCAUGAUUAUAUAUCAGUAAGAGCCCUGAGAGAUGAUCAGGUAGAUAGGUUAGAAGUGGAAGUGUGGCGACACAUGUAGCGGACUAAUACUAAUAGCUCGAGGACUUAUCCA
This 2897-nucleotide ribosomal RNA is filed under the name Streptococcus pneumoniae GA13430. RNAcentral's name for it is "bacterial LSU rRNA". It matches the Rfam family "Bacterial large subunit ribosomal RNA". The record is from RNAcentral. Lineage: Bacteria; Bacillati; Bacillota; Bacilli; Lactobacillales; Streptococcaceae.